CCCUUAGAUGUUCUGGGCCGCACGCGCGCUACACUGACGAAUGCAACGAGCUUAUAACCUUGGCCGAAAGGUCUGGGUAAUCUCCAAAUUUCGUCGUGAUGGGGAUAGAUUAUUGCAAUUAUUAAUCUUCAACGAGGAAUGCCUAGUAAGCGCAAGUCAUCAGCUUGCGUUGAUUACGUCCCUGCCCUUUGUACACACCGCCCGUCGCUCCUACCGAUUGAAUGGUCCGGUGAAGCGUUCGGACCGUGGCCUUUGGACGGUUCGCCGUCUGCUGGCUGCGGGAAGUUCGUUAAACCUUAUCAUUUAGAGGAAGGAGAANUCGUAACA
RNAcentral lists this ribosomal RNA (327 nucleotides) under uncultured eukaryote. RNAcentral describes it as "partial 18S ribosomal RNA". It matches the Rfam family "Eukaryotic small subunit ribosomal RNA", at positions 1470 to 1796 of the family's 1831-position model. The record is from RNAcentral.